CCUACGGGUGGCAGCAGUGAGGAAUAUUGGUCAAUGGGCGGAAGCCUGAACCAGCCAAGUAGCGUGCAGGAUGACGGCCCUACGGGUUGUAAACUGCUUUUAUACGGGAAUAACGCGCCUUACGUGUAGCGCUUUGCAUGUACCGUAUGAAUAAGGACCGGCUAACUCCGUGCCAGCAGCCGCGGUAAUACGGAGGGUGCGAGCGUUAAUCGGAAUUACUGGGCGUAAAGCGCUCGUAGGCGGUAUGUCAAGUCAAGGGUGAAAUCCCCGGGCUCAACGUGGGAACUGCCUUUGAAACUGGCAAACUGGAGUGUGUGAGAGGAUAGUGGAAUUCCAGGUGUAGGAGUGAAAUCCGUAGAUAUCUGGAGGAACAUCAGUGGCGAAGGCGACUAUCUGGCACAUAACUGACGCUGAGGAGCGAAAGCGUGGGUAGCAAACAGGAUUAGAUACCCCUGUAGUC
Molecule: ribosomal RNA, 460 nt
Filed under: uncultured bacterium
Lineage: Bacteria
Description: partial 16S ribosomal RNA
Rfam family: Bacterial small subunit ribosomal RNA
Source: RNAcentral